GUGAACCUUUUCAAAUACCUACUUGUGACGAUUACGUUUACCAUUUGAUUUAUUACUCGCGAUUUAUUCAUGGUUUGUGGAAACAAUUUGAGAGGAUUGAAUGCUUUAAAACAUGUCCAUCUUUCAAUAUGGCUGACUUGUCCCCAUUUGAUUUUUCAGAUUCGAGGACGAAUCUUUUUGAGGAAGGGGGGAAUGAUACGAGUCACAGAGGCCCAACCCAAAUUCUUGAAGGCAAGGCCCAAUAAGAAGAUUCCAAGCCCAAUCAAGAAAUCCA
Molecule: long non-coding RNA, 274 nt
Filed under: Gossypium raimondii (Peruvian cotton)
Lineage: Eukaryota; Viridiplantae; Streptophyta; Magnoliopsida; Malvales; Malvaceae
Description: long non-coding RNA (GRAI_LNC006375)
Source: RNAcentral